AAGCUGUCAAAUUUCAUAUAGGGCGAUUGUAAGUAAUUGCGACCACCUUUUUUACAAGAAAAAACCAGCAAUAAUUACUAAUUAUGAACACCCUAUAUCAAAGAAAUAUGAUCUCAUUGAAUACAAUCCAAUUAGAUUUUUACCCGAGAAGUAGAUGGGCAUAUGCUAUCGGGAGCAUUUGGCUUACGAGAGAGAAAGGAGGGGGAGAAAGAAAGCCCCCUCGGAGGUCGGGGGGAGGGACUAUUUU
This 247-nucleotide long non-coding RNA is filed under the name Amborella trichopoda. Its description in RNAcentral is "long non-coding RNA (ATRI_LNC000222)". Lineage: Eukaryota; Viridiplantae; Streptophyta; Magnoliopsida; Amborellales; Amborellaceae. The record is from RNAcentral.